UACGAAGGGGGCUAGCGUUGCUCGGAAUUACUGGGCGUAAAGGGCGCGUAGGCGGUUAUUUAAGUUGGGGGUGAAAUCCCGGGGCUCAACCUCGGAAUUGCCUUCAAAACUGGAUAUCUUGAGUUCGGGAGAGGUGAGUGGAACUCCGAGUGUAGAGGUGAAAUUCGUAGAUAUUCGGAAGAACACCAGUGGCGAAGGCGACUCACUGGCCCGAUACUGACGCUGAGGCGCGAAAGCUAGGGGAGCAAACGGG
Molecule: ribosomal RNA, 253 nt
Filed under: uncultured bacterium
Lineage: Bacteria
Description: partial 16S ribosomal RNA
Rfam family: Bacterial small subunit ribosomal RNA
Source: RNAcentral